RNAcentral lists this ribosomal RNA (228 nucleotides) under uncultured Candida. RNAcentral describes it as "partial 26S ribosomal RNA". It matches the Rfam family "Eukaryotic large subunit ribosomal RNA", at positions 37 to 282 of the family's 3401-position model. The record is from RNAcentral. Lineage: Eukaryota; Fungi; Ascomycota; Saccharomycetes; Saccharomycetales.
UGCAUAUCAAUAAGCGGAGGAAAAGAAACCAACAGGGAUUGCCUUAGUAGCGGCGAGUGAACAGGCAAGAGCUCAGAUUUGAAAGCCCUCGGGCAUUGUAUUCUGAAGCCUUGGUCCUGAGAAUCGGUGUUUAAGUCUUCUGGAAAGGAGCGCCAUGGAGGGUGAUAGCCCCGUACGACACCACUCUCAUUGUAGGACUUUGGCAUGGAGUCGAGUUGUUUGGGAAUA